Molecule: long non-coding RNA, 1116 nt
Filed under: Papio anubis (olive baboon)
Lineage: Eukaryota; Metazoa; Chordata; Mammalia; Primates; Cercopithecidae
Description: lncRNA (ENSPANG00000049422.1)
Source: RNAcentral
AUGAUGGAGGGUUGGGGGAAGCCCGAGCUCGCCGGCAACUCCGGGGGCAAAUGCGACCGGCGGCGUGCAGAACCAGCUCACAGGAGGACAGGGGAAACGGGAGCCAGGAUGGCCGGGAUCUCGCAGGACGCCGGCAGCGCGAGGGGGGAGUGCUGUCCGGUGGCCAGGAGAUGCCGGAGGCGGGGAGGGCCAGUGGCCGGCCAGCUUCCCCCCGUUGGGGCUCUGCAGAAGGAGAAGCGGCUGCCAGUGACAGGAAGAGAGCCGCGGCAGCCGCGCACACAUGCACCGCCUCCCCCGCCCGAGCACACACACCCGGGGCCACCGCUGCCUACCUCCCCCGCCUGCCGGCUUCCUUCCUCUGCGGGGCCCGCGCUGCAGCGGCGGCCUCCUGCCCGCUCGGUUCCGACGCGCCUCCAGCCCGGCUGCGACCCGCCGGCCGUGCCCGAUCUGUGCUCGCCGUCUCCGACCGCUAGCCUGCCGCCCUCGCCGCGGCCACUGCUUCCUCCAACUCCGCUCCAGCUGCUCGCGACUCCUCUCCGUGCGCCCGCAGCUCCAGCGCCCGGCGCUGGCCCCGCCUCCGGCCCGGCCCCGCGCGCCCCGCCCCCGAGCCCACACCAACCAGAGCCCACGGCUCCGCCCCUUUCCGCCCGCACAGCUCCGGCCUCCGAGCCGGCGGCCGGCGGUGGGGGAGCCAGCUCCGGCCUGGCGGACCUUUCCUGCCACCGCCCUCGCCUUCCGCCCCCAGCCACGGGGAUGCCCCGGGCGGCCGUGCUGCGCGCUGCCUCUGCUGCGGAGUGCUCUGGCUCUGCGCGUCCCGGGCCGGCCCGGCUGCUGGGCGUCUCCCAGCGCAGAGGCGGAGGGGUUCGGGGAGGUCGAAGACAAGUUCAGACCUCCCGGGAGGCUGGCUGUGUCUCUAAUCCGAGUGUCUUGCAGCCAACCCCAGGCUUUUUCGAGCCCCUAGCGCCCCAGCAGAGUGACUGGGGUGGGGAGAACUCGGAUUCCGGAGCUCGCCAAAGCGGGGAGGCCUUGCAAUUCCUGGCCUCGCCAGCACCGCCUCCCCAGUGGGCGGAAAACCCGCGCCACCCGCUUGGCGCUCCGGGGGUGAAGGAGGGGUGA